This is a non-coding RNA of Albula goreensis, 71 nucleotides long. The record is from the annotation of a GenBank genome assembly. Lineage: Eukaryota; Metazoa; Chordata; Actinopteri; Albuliformes; Albulidae.
GCAGUGCAGUACAAUGGUUAAAGAGCUGGCCUUCCAAGUCAGAGGUGGGGGUUCAAUUCCCAGGUAAUGCG